GACGAACGCUGGCGGCGUGCUUAACACAUGCAAGUCGAACGAUGAAGAAAAGAAUCGAAGCUUCGGCAGAAAUUCAUUUCGGAUUAGUGGCAGACGGGUGAGUAACGCGUGAGCAACCUACCUCUUACAAAGGGAUAGCCUCGGGAAACCGGGAUUAAUACCAUAUAACAUUGCGACGAAGCAUUUCGAUGCAAUCAAAGCUACGGCGGUAAGAGAUGCGCUCGCGUCCCAUUAACCGGAUGGUGAGGUAACGGCUCACCAUAGUGACGAUGGGUAACCGGGCUGAGAGAGUGAACGGUCACACUGGAACUGAGACACAGUCCAGAAUCCUACGGGAGGCAGGAGUGGGGAAUAUUGCAAAAUGGAGGGAACUAUGAUGCAGCGACGCCGCGUGAGUGAUGAAGGAAUUCGUUUCGUAAAACGCUGUUCUAUGGGAAGAAAAGGACUGUACCAUAGGAGAAAGCUCCGGCUAAAUACGUG
Molecule: ribosomal RNA, 480 nt
Filed under: uncultured bacterium
Lineage: Bacteria
Description: partial 16S ribosomal RNA
Rfam family: Bacterial small subunit ribosomal RNA
Source: RNAcentral